UGAGGAAUAUUGGUCAAUGGGCGGAAGCCUGAACCAGCCAAGUCGCGUGAGGGAUUAAGGCCCUGCGGGUCGUAAACCUCUUUUGCCGGGGAGCAGAGGUCCGGACGUGUCCGGGCCGGGAGAGUACCCGGAGAAAAAGCAUCGGCUAACUCCGUGCCAGCAGCCGCGGUAAUACGGAGGAUGCGAGCGUUCUCCGGAUUUAUUGGGUUUAAAGGGUGCGUAGGCGGGCAUUUAAGCCGGCGGUCAAAUGUCGGGGCUCAACCCCGGCCUGCCGUCGGAACUGGGUGCCUUGAGUGGGCGAGAAGUAUGCGGAAUGCGUGGUGUAGCGGUGAAAUGCAUAGAUAUCACGCAGAACCCCGAUUGCGAAGGCAGCAUACCGGCGCCCUACUGACGCUGAGGCACGAAAGUGCGGGUAUCGAACAGG
RNAcentral lists this ribosomal RNA (424 nucleotides) under uncultured bacterium. RNAcentral's name for it is "bacterial SSU rRNA". It matches the Rfam family "Bacterial small subunit ribosomal RNA", at positions 355 to 776 of the family's 1533-position model. The record is from RNAcentral.